GGCCUCCAGAUGGCAUUUCAGCUGUAACAGCUCUAAGCCCUGGGGAGCAAAUCUUCAAAACAAACCAAGCACUCCCAACAGACAGCUGGCAGCAAGCUGUGUUUGAGACGCUGCUUCCCAAGAGGGUAGAGAAAGCACCGAGCCCCUGGAUAGUCCAGGUCCAGGUUAGACAAGGUGGAUCCGUGGGAGCCUGCACUCACUGAGACCAGCUCCACAGCCUUGGCCUCGUCACCCAUCUGGAGCCCACCUCUGACAGACUGCAGGCAUGCACAGCCGCACUCCUGGUUAAAUUUACUCCUUUAGCUCUUUGUGACCUCGGAGAGGUUUCAGGCUAGGUAACAAGGUAGUCACUGGGAAAGUUGGACAGGCCGCGACUCCUGGCAGCCACUGCAGCCCAUUGUCCCCAAGCCCAGGAUUCCCUCUUGCAUAUUAAUGAGGGAGCCACAGUGCUGAUGGGCACUUCCCACUGUCAGCCAGGUCCCCAAGGGCCGCGGCAGCAGAGAACUGCUGGUGAGUGCUGCCUGGCUGGGGAGCGGGUACCAGGUCUUGCAUUCAUUGUCUGCUGACUUCUCAGCGCCCAAGCCCAGUUCCUGGAAAGAAGUGGACCUCAGAACCAACCACAUCACUGCCAUUCAGGAUUUCAGCCCAGAGGGGCCUGUGUAGCUGAUGUCCCAGUCACAGUGAGCUGGACCGUGUCUGUAAUUAGUCAACACGGUCUUCCUCCUUCCCCAAGCAGCCCCAGGAGAAAACUAGUUCCCUGCCCCCUGUGUCUCCUGUCACCUGCCAUCUCCCUCCCCGGGCUGCUGCCUGCGGAAGCCUAUGCUGACAAGUUCGAAGGCCAGUGCGGGGGCCUCUGGCACUGCUGCAGAAGAUGCCAUAAGAUAGCCGGCGCCGCGGCUCACUAGGCUAAUCCUCUGCCUAGCGGCGCCGGCACACCGGGUUCUAGUCCCGGUCGGGGCGCCGGAUUCUGUCCCGGUUGCCCCUCUUCCAGGCCAGCCCUCUGCUGUGGCCAGGGAGUGCAGUGGAGGAUGGCCCAGGUGCUUGGGCCCUGCACCCCAUGGGAGACCAGGAAAAGCACCUGGCUCCUGGCUCCUGCCAUCGGAUCAGCGCGGUGCGCCGGCCGCAGCGCGCCGGCCGCGGCGGCCAUUGGAGGGUGAACCAACGGCAAAGGAAGAC
Molecule: long non-coding RNA, 1176 nt
Filed under: Oryctolagus cuniculus (rabbit)
Lineage: Eukaryota; Metazoa; Chordata; Mammalia; Lagomorpha; Leporidae
Description: lncRNA (ENSOCUG00000032768.1)
Source: RNAcentral